UACGUAGGGGGCAAGCGUUGUCCGGAUUUAUUGGGCGUAAAGAGCGUGUAGGCGGCCUGACAGGUCUGCUGUGAAAACUCGAGGCUCAACCUCGAGAUGUCGGCGGAAACCGUCUGGCUAGAGUCCGGAAGAGGAGAGUGGAAUUCCUGGUGUAGCGGUGGAAUGCGCAGAUAUCAGGAAGAACACCCGUGGCGAAGGCGGCUCUCUGGAACGCAACUGACGCUGAGACGCGAAAGCGUGGGGAGCAAACAGG
Molecule: ribosomal RNA, 253 nt
Filed under: uncultured bacterium
Lineage: Bacteria
Description: partial 16S ribosomal RNA
Rfam family: Bacterial small subunit ribosomal RNA
Source: RNAcentral